CAUACACUGUCCCCAAUUUUUAAAGAGUUUUUUAAUUAAAUACAUUUUAUUUAUUUAUUUAAUUUGGAGUGUAGAGAAAAGCCUUACAACCUGUAUCCAUUAGCCUAUAUAAAACUGCCAUGUUAAAGUUAAAUAACAACGUUCCCUUUUACUAGAGACAACAAAAAUCCCAAAUAUAUAAUAUUUAAUAAUAUGUCAAAUUUAAAAUGGACAAUAUUGUGCUGAAUAUAGAACUUCAUGACAAUAACAAUAAUAACUAAGUACUAUAUAUAUAUUAAGAAACAUGGGAAGUAGAAACAUGGGUUGCAGAACAAGGUAAAAAAAAGAGCAUGCAGAACAAGGUAAAAUAUGUGGUAUUGUUAAAUACAUUAAAGAAAUAGGAUUAAGCAGGAGAAUUUUUAUAUAUAUAAAUAUGUAUAUAUUCGUUGCUUAUUAGUGCUUCACACUCCAGUCCAGUUGGUGGCGGUAAAUGCACCAAAAGUUGGUUUGCCAUCCACCAUUAAACGUUAUUAGAAGAAGAGUAAUGUUCACGCUGCGCUGUUGUAACUGAUCAGCGCCGCGCUGUCAGUUCGGUGGCGCUGGUAAAUACGUCCUCUCUGCACUGUCGAGUCGGUCGCGCAGCUCGGUCCAUUGAGCCGCGCCGAUGACCGGUCAGCGCUGCGCGAACACUUUAAUACCGCGCUGUUUCGUCCCACAUUUGGGCUGUUUGGCUUCCCAUAGAUAACGGCAAAUCAGCGUCUUUUCCUUAGUGUCUACUGCAGGAUGGAUAUAAAAGUAUAAAAUAACCUACUUUUUGGUUUGACAACAUCAUUAAUAUGUGUAUCACAAUUAAAGCACAAAGACAUAACAUUACACCCCAAGACCGUUCACAAGUUAGAGAAAAGAGAAGAAACAGUUUCCAGAAGAGAAGUUCAUCAGGCGAGUUGGAGCGUUUACUUUGUCGAGUCAUCCACUUUAGCGGAGAGUGUCAACCCAUUGAAAAGUGUUCAGCGUACAGUGUACCCCUCUUUGCAACAGAGGAAGCGUGA
Molecule: long non-coding RNA, 1028 nt
Organism: Cyprinus carpio (common carp)
Lineage: Eukaryota; Metazoa; Chordata; Actinopteri; Cypriniformes; Cyprinidae
Source: Ensembl